This 200-nucleotide unclassified non-coding RNA is filed under the name soil metagenome. RNAcentral's name for it is "partial contains internal transcribed spacer 2 and large subunit ribosomal RNA". The record is from RNAcentral.
CAUGGGGGUUUAUUUUUGCAGGCUUCUUCUUCUACAGAAGGUCAGCUCCCCUGAAAUGUAUUAGUGGUAUCUGAGCUACUGCUAUAGGUGUGAUAAUUAUCUAUGCCUUUGGUAUGCUGCAUGAACAGAUUGCACUGCUUAUAACAACUGAAUUUGACAAAUCUGACCUCAAAUCAGGUAGGACUACCCGCUGAACUUAA